UUUCCCUCAGGAUAGCUGGCACUCGCUUGAGCGAGUCUCAUCUGGUAAAGCGAAUGAUUAGAGGCCUUGGGGCCGAAACGACCUCAACCUAUUCUCAAACUUUAAAUGGGUGAGAUCUCUGGCUUGCUUGAACGUUGAAGCCAGAGAUUAAUUUUUGCAAUGGAUCAGAGUGCCAAGUGGGCCAAUUUUGGUAAGCAGAACUGGCGCUGUGGGA
This 214-nucleotide ribosomal RNA is filed under the name Lamprotatus splendens. RNAcentral describes it as "partial 28S ribosomal RNA". It matches the Rfam family "Eukaryotic large subunit ribosomal RNA", at positions 967 to 1163 of the family's 3401-position model. The record is from RNAcentral. Lineage: Eukaryota; Metazoa; Arthropoda; Insecta; Hymenoptera; Pteromalidae. RNAcentral also lists the same sequence under 3 other names.